AGAGUUUGAUCCUGGCUCAGGGCUAACGCUGAUGGUGUGUCUAAGCCAUGCUAGUCGAGCGUACCUCAAGAGUUUUAUAAUUCUUGAGGACAGCGGCGGAUAGGUGAGUAACGCGUGAGUAACCUGCCGUCAAGUCCGGGAUAGCUUUGAGAAAUCAGGGGUAAUUCCGGAUAUUGCCAUAAGGCGUAAAGUUCUAUGGUAAAAGAUAGCCUCUCUCUGAAGCUAUCGCUAGACGAGGGGCUCGCGUCCCAUUAGCUUGUUGGUAAGGUAAAAGCUUACCAAGGCAAUGAUAGGUAGCCGGCCUGAGAGGGUGACCGGCCACGCUGGGACUGAGACAAGGCCCAGGCUCCUACGGGAGGCAGCAGGCUAGAAAUUUGUCCAAUGGACGCAAGUCUGAGACAGCGACACCAUGUGGAGGAUCUGAAGGCCUUCGGGUUGUAAACUCCUGUCAAAGAGGACGAUGCUCUGAUAACUUAACAGGUUUUUCAGAGUGACGGUACUCUUAAUAGGAAGCCACGGCUAAUUCCGUGCCAGCAGCCGCGGUAAAACGGAAGUGGCAAGCGUUGCUCGGAAUCACUGGGCGUAAAGGGGACGUAGGCGGAUAGUCAAGUUGAAUGUGAAAACCGUUUGCUUAACGGACGGCUUGCAUUCAAAACUGAUUAUCUAGAGUCUGGCAGAGGAGAGUAGAACUUCUGGUGUAGCGGUGGAAUGCGUAGAUAUCAGAAGGAAUACCGACGGCGAAGGCAGCUCUCUGGGCCAAGACUGACGCUGAGGUCCGAAAGCCAGGGUAGCGAACGGGAUUAGAUACCCCGGUAGUCCUGGCUGUAAACGAUGGGCACUUGACGUAGGCGGUAAAGUCUGCGUCGUAGCCAACGUAAUAAGUGCCCCGCCUGGGGAGUACGUUCGCAAGGAUGAAACUCAAAGGAAUUGACGAGGAACCGCACAAGCGGUGGAGGAUGUGGUUUAAUUCGAGGCAACGCGAAGAACCUUACCUGGGCUUGACAUGCAGGAAGUACAAACCUGAAACGGGGAGGACCGGUAACCAGUU
This 1048-nucleotide ribosomal RNA is filed under the name uncultured bacterium. Its description in RNAcentral is "bacterial SSU rRNA". It matches the Rfam family "Bacterial small subunit ribosomal RNA", at positions 8 to 1027 of the family's 1533-position model. The record is from RNAcentral.